Molecule: ribosomal RNA, 827 nt
Filed under: uncultured Actinomycetes bacterium
Lineage: Bacteria; Bacillati; Actinomycetota; Actinomycetes
Description: bacterial SSU rRNA
Rfam family: Bacterial small subunit ribosomal RNA
Source: RNAcentral
CAGCAUUCUGUAGCAAUACAGGGUGUGGGCGCGUGGCGAACGGGUGCGUAACACGUGGAUAACCUUCCUUCAGGUGGGGAAUAACCCAGUGAAAAUUGGGCUAAUACCGCAUAACAUGACGAUGCCACAUGGUGUUGUCUUCAAAGCCGCAAGGCGCCAGAAGAGGGAUCCGCGGCCGAUUAGCUUGUUGGCGAGGUAACGGCUCACCAAGGCUUUGAUCGGUAGCCGGACUGAGAGGUUGGCCGGCCACACUGGAACUGAGACGCGGUCCAGACUCCUACGGGAGGCAGCAGUGGGGAAUCUUGCACAAUGGACGAAAGUCUGAUGCAGCAACGCCGCGUGGGGGAUGAAGCUUUUCGGAGUGUAAACCCCUUUCGACCCGGAAGAAUGCCCGCAAGGGCUUGACGGUACGGGUAUAAGAAGCCCCGGCUAACUACGUGCCAGCAGCCGCGGUAAUACGUAGGGGGCCAGCGUUGCUCGGAAUUACUGGGCGUAAAGGGUCCGUAGGCGGUGUGGCAAGUCGGGAGUGAAAUCUCUGGGCUUAACCCAGAGGCUGCUUCCGAAACUGCCAUGCUAGAGCGUGAGAGAGGCGAGUGGAAUUACGGGUGUAGCGGUGAAAUGCGUAGAUAUCCGUAGGAACAUCCGAGGCGAAGGCGGCUCGCUGGAUCACAACUGACGCUGAGGGACGAAAGCUAGGGGAGCAAACAGGAUUAGAUACCCUGGUAGUCCUAGCCCUAAACCAUCAGACUUGGGGUGUGCCCUGUACGGGGCACGUCCCGUAGCUAACGCGUUAAGUCCUGCGCCUGGGGAGUACGGUCGCAAGGCUG